RNAcentral lists this ribosomal RNA (863 nucleotides) under Pantoea agglomerans. Its description in RNAcentral is "bacterial SSU rRNA". It matches the Rfam family "Bacterial small subunit ribosomal RNA", at positions 41 to 934 of the family's 1533-position model. The record is from RNAcentral. Lineage: Bacteria; Pseudomonadati; Pseudomonadota; Gammaproteobacteria; Enterobacterales; Erwiniaceae.
AACAAACACCUUAAACAUGCAGUCGAACGGUGCACACAUAGCUUGCUCUCGGGUGACGAGUGGCGGACGGGUGAGUAAUGUCUGGGAAACUGCCUGAUGGAGGGGGAUAACUACUGGAAACGGUAGCUAAUACCGCAUAACGUCGCAAGACCAAAGAGGGGGACCUUCGGGCCUCUUGCCAUCAGAUGUGCCCAGAUGGGAUUAGCUAGUAGGUGGGGUAACGGCUCACCUAGGCGACGAUCCCUAGCUGGUCUGAGAGGAUGACCAGCCACACUGGAACUGAGACACGGUCCAGACUCCUACGGGAGGCAGCAGUGGGGAAUAUUGCACAAUGGGCGCAAGCCUGAUGCAGCCAUGCCGCGUGUAUGAAGAAGGCCUUCGGGUUGUAAAGUACUUUCAGCGGGGAGGAAGGUGUUGUGGUUAAUAACCGCAGCAAUUGACGUUACCCGCAGAAGAAGCACCGGCUAACUCCGUGCCAGCAGCCGCGGUAAUACGGAGGGUGCAAGCGUUAAUCGGAAUUACUGGGCGUAAAGCGCACGCAGGCGGUCUGUCAGUCGGAUGUGAAAUCCCCGGGCUCAACCUGGGAACUGCAUUCGAACUGGCAGCUGAGUCUGUAGAGGGGAGUAGACUCCAGUGUAGCGUGAAUGCGUAAAGAUCUGAGAUACGUGGCGAGCGCCCCCUUGACAUGACUGACCUCAGUGCGAAGCGUGGGGACCAAACAGAAUGACUCCUUGGUACGCCCACGCGUAACGAUUCGAUUGGAGGGUGCUGACUUGAGGCCUGGCCUCGGACUUACGUUAUCGAACGGCUUGAGAUACCGCCCAGGUUAACCUAGUGAUUGACGGUCCCCAACGUGAACAGUG